RNAcentral lists this ribosomal RNA (387 nucleotides) under Exiguobacterium aurantiacum. RNAcentral describes it as "bacterial SSU rRNA". It matches the Rfam family "Bacterial small subunit ribosomal RNA", at positions 382 to 761 of the family's 1533-position model. Lineage: Bacteria; Bacillati; Bacillota; Bacilli; Caryophanales. The record is from RNAcentral.
UCUGAUGGAGCAACGCCGCGUGAACGAUGAAGGCCUUCGGGUCGUAAAGUUCUGUUGUAAGGGAAGAACAAGUGCCGCAGGCAAUGGCGGCACCUUGACGGUACCUUGCGAGAAAGCCACGGCUAACUACGUGCCAGCAGCCGCGGUAAUACGUAGGUGGCAAGCGUUGUCCGGAAUUAUUGGGCGUAAAGCGCGCGCAGGCGGCCUCUUAAGUCUGAUGUGAAAGCCCCCGGCUCAACCGGGGAGGGCCAUUGGAAACUGGGAGGCUUGAGUAUAGGAGAGAAGAGUGGAAUUCCACGUGUAGCGGUGAAAUGCGUAGAGAUGUGGAGGAACACCAGUGGCGAAGGCGACUCUUUGGCCUAUAACUGACGCUGAGGCGCGAAAGCG